This is a long non-coding RNA of Mauremys reevesii (Reeves's turtle), 2203 nucleotides long. RefSeq lists it as uncharacterized. Lineage: Eukaryota; Metazoa; Chordata; Testudines; Geoemydidae. The transcript is spliced from 6 exons. The record is from RefSeq and is a predicted model, not a curated record.
GUGGCGCAAACUCCCGUGGAGCUUUCGGUUAGCCGCAGGGAGGGAGCUUGCUGGCAGCGUCCGGCGCGUGGGGGGCAAGGGAGGAGCCGGGUCUGUACUCUGUUAACGGCCGUUUGUGGAACGGAGGCAGGUUUUCCCCUUUCAACACAUGGAAAAAAUAGAGUGCUGGGAACAGAUAUAUACAGUAAAUUGCUGCUAACCAGAAUCCUCGGAGACUAAAUCCUGGAGCACCUUAAAUGAGCCAGAUUGACGUGGUUGACUGGGCCCUUCCGGAUUGUCAUGCAGCAUCCUGUACACAUCAGAUUGAGGUACAGAGGUUGGUACUGGUUCACUGCAACAUAGGCAAGGGAUGAGCAGCACUUAGGUCCUCUUCAGCCUUAACUGGACUCAGAGGGUUUCUUUUUCGAGGGGACAAUUUUUCCAGGAAUAAUGCAUAAUCCAGGAAUUCCACAGUCAUCUGAGACCAAUUCCUUCUCAGGGCCACAGUCACAUAUAUAUGCUGAAUGUUCACUCCUGGAUGUUAAAAGGAAAUUGCUUCAUUUAUCACCAUUUUUGAAAAAUAUGACAGAAGUUUAGAGUAUUGGAAAAGAAAAAUAAAACAGCAAGAGCUGGACUUUUGAAUGGACAACAAAACAGACAGUAGUAUUGCCACAAAAGACCAUGUAAUACACACUUUUUUUCUGCUAACAACGGAAAGACAUUGCUUGCAGGUUUCAAUGUCUCAGAGAAAGAUGGGUCUCCAAAUCUUUUUGUCAUCUGGCUUGCAAAUCGUCUGAACAAGAAAGAAUGCUUCAUUUACCUCAUUGGAAACAGCGGGAGAAUUGUCUUGAACAUAGUCCAAAAGCUUUUUAGGAGGCUGCACCAUAUAAGCAGAAGUGUAGAGAUGAAAUGGAGGAGUAUCAAUGGCAGCAAGGAAUGAAACAUGUGGAGAAGGUGACAUAGUUAGAAACUGAGUGUUGACAGCAUCAGAUACAAGAGUGACACAUAUGCAGCAAAAUGGGAGUUCACUGGAAGGAAGAGCGUGGUACAAUAAUUUUGCAAUAAUAUCAAGCAUCUUAAUAAAAUGUUAGUAAUUUUAGCGAGUAAAACUUCCAACUUAAAACGUGAAUAGUUGUAUUAAUACUAACAGUUUAAAAACUGGUGAGACAGAAGAAUGUAUAAUAAAGGAUUGAGUAUUUAUGGCCUGCUGGUGAAAUUUCUAUAUGGACUUUACCGUAUAGAGGAUAAUAAUGACAACUAGUGAUAUUUUUGUCUCUAGAUAGAAUUUUUUUUAGCCUGCCUACGUCUUGCCUACAUAUGGAUGAAUGAUGAUAAAAAGAGUUUUAAAAGCUAGAUAAAAUGAAGUUAAAGUUAGUCUGUUUGAUGAAAAUAUAAGGAUGUAUUGCAGACUGUUGGAUUACAAAUUAAAAAAAUACUUAAAUAUCUAAUGCAUUGUUUCAGUGAAAAAUUAAAAAUAGGAUUACAUAUCUAAAUAAUUGAAUGGUUUGUAUUAAUAUAUAUGGGUUUGCAUAUAUAUAUUGUCAGUUGCAUAUACAGGGCUUGCUUCUGCUUUCAUUGAAGUCAAUGGGGGGGUUGUUAUUGACUUAGUGAACACUGGAGCAGACUCGAAGAGUGUGCAGUUGCAAGUAGAUGUCUAGUUUAAAUUAAAACUAACAACACCUUUUUAAGUAUAAAAUUAUAUAUCCUGCAUGUAUGUGUGUGUGGGCGAGAGAGAGGCACACACAGAUAAAACAGGCACCAUUUAAAAAUGCAACAUUGGUGUAUUUAUCACUGUAACACUGCAGUUACUGUAGAUGCCUGUGUCAAUAAAUGUCGAAUCCCCCCCCCUUUGAAUCCCAACCCUCCAAAAGUCAACACUUAUUGCCACAGGCACCUGCAUUAACUGUAGUAUCUACUAUGCUUAGGAUGGAGAUUCCAUAGUGACAAGCAUACCAAUGUUGAGUUUCUAAAUGGCGCCCAUUUUCUGUAGGUGCGUAUGUGUAUUAAAAGUAGACACAUUCCUUCAUACAAAACUGAGUGCUUUUGGCUUUGGAAUCUAUAAUUUUAAAAAACUGUCUUCUACUCUUGAUAAUUUAAUCAAUCUAAUGCAAAAAUUUAGUAAAAGUAAAAAACAAUUCUGUUUUAUAUACAGCUGAUAUUACACUUAGCAACAAGUAUAUACCACUUAUUCUAUGUAGUCUAUGCACCUUAAUUAGUGAUUAAA